ACAGGAUGAACGCUAGCGGGAGGCCUAACACAUGCAAGCCGAGCGGUAGAGGUCCUUCGGGACCUUGAGAGCGGCGCACGGGUGCGGAACACGUGUGCAACCUGCCUCUAUCUGGGAGAUAGCCUUUCGAAAGGAAGAUUAAUACCCCAUAAUAUGACGAAUGGCAUCAUUUGUUAUUGAAAGCCCCGGCGGAUAGAGAUGGGCACGCGCAAGAUUAGCUUGUUGGUGAGGUAACGGCUCACCAAGGCGAUGAUCUUUAGGGGGCCUGAGAGGGUGAUCCCCCACACUGGUACUGAGACACGGACCAGACUCCUACGGGAGGCAGCAGUGAGGAAUAUUGGACAAUGGGUGAGAGCCUGAUCCAGCCAUCCCGCGUGAAGGACGACGGCCCUAUGGGUUGUAAACUUCUUUUGUACAGGGAUAAACCUAUCUACGUGUAGAUAGCUGAAGGUACUGUACGAAUAAGCACCGGCUAACUCCGUGCCAGCAGCCGCGGUAAUACGGAGGGUGCGAGCGUUAUCCGGAUUUAUUGGGUUUAAAGGGUCCGUAGGCGGGUCUGUAAGUCAGUGGUGAAAUCUCAUAGCUCAACUAUGAAACUGCCAUUGAUACUGCAAGCCUUGAGUGAAUUUGAAGUGGCUGGAAUAAGUAGUGUAGCGGUGAAAUGCAUAGAUAUUACUUAGAACACCGAUUGCGAAGGCAGGUCACUAAGAUUCAACUGACGCUGAUGGACGAAAGCGUGGGGAGCGAACAGGAUUAGAUACCCUGGUAGUCCACGCCGUAAACGAUGCUAACUCGUUUUUGGGCCUUCGGGCUCAGAGACCAAGCG
RNAcentral lists this ribosomal RNA (826 nucleotides) under Chryseobacterium sp. RNAcentral describes it as "bacterial SSU rRNA". It matches the Rfam family "Bacterial small subunit ribosomal RNA", at positions 24 to 853 of the family's 1533-position model. Lineage: Bacteria; Pseudomonadati; Bacteroidota; Flavobacteriia; Flavobacteriales; Weeksellaceae. The record is from RNAcentral.